GUGGGAGUUUGCACAGCACUUUGCCGUUGCUGAGGCUGGCUUUGAACUUGUGAUCUCCUGCCUCAGCCUCCCGAGCCACUGGGAUGACAGGUGUGGGCCACUGAGGCUGGCUUCGUCUUUUCUCUUGACUGGGUCUAGCUGAUCAGCAGCUUCUCCACCCUGUGAGGCUGCAGUGCUCCAGUAGAUCCUGAGCACCUCACAAGAAAAGGAGAGACAGAAAAGCAACAGGCGGGGCCCGGUGGCGCUCGCUCGGGAGGCUGAGGCAGGAGGAUGGCAAAUUCAAAGCCAGCCUCAGCAACUUAGCAAGGCCCUGUCUCAAAAUAGAAUGAUUUUUAAGAAAGGGCUAAGAAUGUGACUCUGUGGUUAAGUGUCCCUGGGUUCAAUUCCUGGUACCGGGGGCCGGAGCAGGGGGUGGGGGGAACAAAACAGAAACAACAGAAGCAGACAAGACACAGUGUUAUGAUAAACACCCAGUACCCACCGUCCUAUCUCAGUCCUACUGAACACAAAACAGGGACGUAGGGUCAGCAGCUUCCAACAAGAAAAACAAUCAAUAGCCCAGAACUGGCUACAACAUUUAAGUAAACAGUAGGUGUCAACUCUGCCAUCCCUGGUACUAAUGACUCUUGACAACAUGAGUGGUGUUGGGUGAGGAACUGUAGACACUAGUUCCAAACAGUGGUAAAAUAUAGUUCAUUAAGAGAAGGGAGAAUGUGUGGGGAAGGUAGAAGAAAGUUUGGGAUGUUUAAAAUGGGAACAAAGAGACUGCAAAAGAGAUGUGACAAGUGAUUCUGGCUGUGCCUGGUGGCCCACGCUGUCAUCCCAGUGGCUCGGGAGGCUGAGGCAGGAGAUCACACGUUCAAAGCCAGCCUCAGCAGCAGCAAAGUGCUACGCACACUCCGACCCUGUCUCUCAAUGAAGCACAGCAUCGGGUGGGGACAGGGGAUCUGCUACUGGAGGGAGAGGAAAGGAGACAAAGAGGAACAAACCCCAAACUCUGACCCCGGAAAGACAGGCAGAGAGCUCAGAGAUGCGGCCACGAGGAAGACGGAAGCCGUGAGUGUGCAUGUGCGGGACCAGCAAGCACACAGACAAGACCAGGCCCCGAACAAGAGGGGGCAGUGAAGGGUCGUCCCCACGGAAGGGCGCAACGUCGCUCCUGUGCCCACUGAGCACUCAGAAAGCUGCAGAGGGAGGGCGGGCUUGGUGCUGCUCACCCCUGCCCCCGGGAGGCCCAGGACGGGGCGCAGUGGCUCUCAGCCCCCCUCGUCAGCAGCUAGGGUAGGACGGGGUGGCCAGUGCCGCCAGCUGGACUGUGCCCAUGAGGACGAGGUGGACGCACUCCCAGGCGGGCAGCAGCGAUGCUUAUGAGGAGUCUCAGUGGCUGGGCGUGGGCUGUGGAGGCCGGCCGGGGUUGGGGUGGGAGAUCAGGUCAACACACCCCCAGGGCCUGGCAGCUGGGCGCCAGGUCUCAGGAGCCUCCCGAGAACUCUGCUCACAGGGCAGGUGGGGGUCACCCUCCGCCCGCUCUGCUGCCCUCAGUCACAGCUCCCAGGAUGAGUCCCCGUGUGCACUCACACCCACCUGUCCAGAUCCCCGCCCGCUUUGGCUGGUCACGCGAGCCACCAGAGUCCAGGGGAAAGCGAGUUGGGCUCCCCUCUGUGUCCCUUGGUGGACACCCCCCAGUCCCGUUCUUCUGGGCACACCCUGGGCCAUGCGCUGGGCACUUGCUGGGACAGGUUUGCUGGGGUCUCCAGCUCUACAGCAGCAAGCUGCAGUGUGGCCUCCUCAAGACGGCCCCCACCUCAGCUGCCCACGGCCAGGUGAGAAGCUGCACCUUCCAGACACCAGAUGGCUGUGCAGGCCCUGGAUCAGCUGAGCUCAGGCUGCCUUUCUGAUCCACAGGACCCUGUGCCACAUGUGUCCCCUGUGGUGCUGUGUCCUCCCUGUCCCCUGAGGUGAGCCAGCACCACUGUCCCUGCUGCCACUCCUUGGCUCCAGUGUGCUCUUUUCUUUCUUUUUAAUGCACCCAAAUUUCUGAGUCUCUAAAAGACUCUUGUCAGAUGCUGAAUGCCAUUGGAGUCCCUCCGUCACCACCUCACUGAGGACCUGUGUCCCAGCACUUGAACCCUGAGCCCUGGACUCUGCCAUCUGGACUCCCCCGAGCCCUGUCUUUGGAGCGUGUUGUGCAGCCCGUAACAC
Molecule: long non-coding RNA, 2202 nt
Filed under: Marmota monax (woodchuck)
Lineage: Eukaryota; Metazoa; Chordata; Mammalia; Rodentia; Sciuridae
Source: RNAcentral